RNAcentral lists this non-coding RNA (23 nucleotides) under Cricetulus griseus (Chinese hamster). Lineage: Eukaryota; Metazoa; Chordata; Mammalia; Rodentia; Cricetidae. The record is from RNAcentral.
UAUCGAAACUGUGAGACUGACAC